UGCUGUUCAGCUAGACGGCUUAUACGUUCAAGCAAUUGAGCUGCUUUUCUUUUCCCUCUAUCUGUCCCGUUUCCGGCUAAAUCAAUCAGUGGACCCAUAAGACCGAGUUUCUGUGCUUCGACCAGAUGUUGUGGGUCAACAGAACAGAGGUGGACUAGAACCGCAGCAGCGUUCUCUCUGUUUCUAGGAGAUCCAGUUCUGAUAAACUCCACUAGACUCGGGACUGCGUCGGAUGAUCCUAUGAUUGCUUUCCCUUCGGGAUGGCUCGAGAGAAUCGCCAGAAUGGCAAGCGCCUCAUCGACCAUUCCGCUUCCGGGCUGUGUUAAGAGUCUCGUCAAUGUGGGAAUCACUCCUGCGCGUAUGGCCUUUCCUUUGUUUCCUUGAUAUAUGCAGAGGUUGAAAAGUGCAGUAGCCGCGUCUUUCUUGCCUCUUUGUGUACCUUCAUUGAGCAGUACAACGAGCGGUGGGAUUGCUCCCAAGGCACCAAUAGUCACUUUGUUCUCGUCAAUCACGGAGAGACUGAAGAGUGUGGCCGCUGCAUUCUCUCUAGCCUCCAUGCUUCCUUUCUUGAGCACUUGAACUAUACCAGGGAUAGCUCCAGCAGAGACAAUGGCCCCUUUGUUGUUCUCACAUAUGGAGAGGUUUAGAAGAGCUGUUACCGAAUGUUCUUGGAUACGAGAAUCAGGAGUUGCGAGGAGGCCAACGAGAAGAGGUAUGGCUCCAGCUUCAGCUAUGGCCACACGGUUGUCUGCAUUUCGUUUUGCGAGGAGGCGGAUUUCUCCAGCUGCAGAUCGUUGGUCCUCAGGGUUUCCGUAAGCCAGCCUCCACAUAAGAUCUUCGAUCUUGUUUGCUUCUGCUGGGGAGGAAAAGGAUGAUACUUUCCUGGGCCUUAAACUGCUCGGAGGUUUUGGAGGCUCGAUAUCAUUGGCCUCGCACCACUGAGCUAUCAGACUUCGGAGAACAUAGUUGGGUGUGAGGGUUGUGCUUGUUAGCGCCUGCUGUGUUUUUGGACAUGUCGAAUGCCCAGCUUCUAUCCACUUGUCAAUGCAGGUGCGUUCGUAGGUCUAUUACACACAGAGGAGAACAUGCUUCAAUAAUUAAAUCUGAAAAGAUUAUAGAACCUAAAGAAAUUUGAAGAAACUGCAACUUUACCUGCCCUGUUGAAACGAUAACUGGAUCUCUCAUCAUUUCCAGAGAUAUUGGACAGCGGAAAUCAUCAGGAAUCACCGGUAUCUUGUGACUCGCAGCCGUAGAAGUUUGCCCAUUGCUACUCGAGUUUACCCCAGCACUCUGGUCCUCGCUAUUGUCAGUGUCAAUCUGCACAAAAUCCUUAAUCAGCUUAAGUACCAUUGCCAUCUCCUCAAUGCUUUCACCACCGCUCGAAGCAACCAUUUCGUGCAGAGCCACUGAUUCUUGAGCUAGGUCAGGAAUCUCCAUCAGAUGUAACUUCCUAGCAACCCGCUGCAGGGUAGGUUGAUAAUCAUCUACGUCACUGCUUUUGAUGCACAGUGACUGAAGAUCUUCAUACAGUUCAUCGUCUGAUGCAUCUACUCUUCCUUUGGCUCGCCGAAACUGGCUGAGAACUAACUCAACCUGCAAAAAAGAAAGAAAAAAAAAACGCCAUCAAAAUGUGCACAUAUCCGCUGAAGAUCCUAUUCUCAGUGAUUGAAGUGGACAGAUGUAGAGCUUUGAUCGCGUAGUUCGUACAGUUAUGGGGUUCUAUCGUUUUUUAUUGGAAUGUUAUGGACAGAAGUCACAAGUAAGCUAUGUGUUUGCUUGGGUUCUGUUUUUGUCUUUGUUUCCUUGGCUUUGUAAGACUAAAGACCGUUUCUUUUAAUACCAGCAAUGAACUUUCAGUGAGAAAAAAAACACAAAUGUUGUGCAUAUGUUCAAGAUAAAAUAGAAUUACGUGUGUAUGCUUAUGUACAGGAAGGUUAUGACCAGGCACGUCCCUUCUAUAAUGCAAAGAAACAUUUGCUUCGGGCCGUAUAAUAUAAGCUUGAGGUUACUGAUCCGAACCCUAUUCUAAUUAAAUUCCCAUUUCUUGUAUUAAAACCAAUAAAGCUGGUGGAAACGAUUACAAACAUUGAAGUGUUACAAUGAUACAAGUUGACGUGUAUGUAUGCAUAUUUGCUGUUCUCUCCUCAGGACCGGAUAGCUCCGUCCUUGCAGAGGUAACACCAUAAAGUUAAAACAUUUCGGACAGACAAGGAGGCCAUUUGCUGCUUUUGCCAUCUACAUUAGAGCCUACCUCGAAGGAAGACCGAGUAGGAGACAAGAAAAGAAAAGUGGGAAUAAUAAAAGACCAUAGGGACCAAAGCAAAAACAACUCUUUUAAGUAUCAGCAGCUUCUGUGGUGGAUGCUGAAUGUGUUGGUUCAGCUUCUUCUGUGUUUUGUGCCUGUGCUGCCGUCUCCUUCUGCUGUUCAGCUAGACGGCUUAUACGUUCAAGCAAUUGAGCUGCUUUUCUUUUCCCUCUAUCUGUCCCGUUUCCGGCUAAAUCAAUCAAUGGACCCAUGAGACCGAGUUUCUGUGCUUCGACCAGAUGUUGUGGGUCAACAGAACAGAGGUGGACUAGAACCGCAGCAGCGUUCUCUCUGUUUCUAGGAGAUCCAGUUCUGAUAAACUCCACUAGACUCGGGACUGCGUCGGAUGAUCCUAUGAUUGCUUUCCCUUCGGGAUGGCUCGAGAGAAUCGCCAGAAUGGCAAGCGCCUC
RNAcentral lists this long non-coding RNA (2715 nucleotides) under Brassica napus (rape). RNAcentral describes it as "long non-coding RNA (BNAP_LNC000474)". Lineage: Eukaryota; Viridiplantae; Streptophyta; Magnoliopsida; Brassicales; Brassicaceae. The record is from RNAcentral.